CUCUAUGGCCAUGCCACCCUGACCAUGCUCGAUCUCCAAAUCUGAAUUUGGAGGCUAAGCAGGAUCAGGCCUGGUUAGUACUUGGAUGGGAGACCACCUAGGAAUACCAGAUGGUGUAGGCA
This 122-nucleotide ribosomal RNA is filed under the name Pteropus alecto (black flying fox). The record is from RNAcentral. Lineage: Eukaryota; Metazoa; Chordata; Mammalia; Chiroptera; Pteropodidae.